AUAAACCUAGGAUAGAAAGCUGCGCAGCUGAGCUCCCAGACUUCACACAACUAAACAGUCUGCAUUGUGACGAUCACAGAAGCCAAGGAAUUCACACAUUGAUCAGAGCAACAAAAGUGAAAACUUAAGAGUUGGGGCUGAAGAACGUAACCUUUCUAAACCACAGCAGCACGGCUGAUAACAGCAGUCUCUUCGGACAGUUCCAAGAGUGUGUAGUACCUCAGCUUCCUGGCCCAGCACAAUUCUGAAGCACGCAUUACUAAAUAAACAAUGGAGAUAAA
Molecule: long non-coding RNA, 281 nt
Filed under: Rattus norvegicus (Norway rat)
Lineage: Eukaryota; Metazoa; Chordata; Mammalia; Rodentia; Muridae
Description: long non-coding RNA NONRATT017405
Source: RNAcentral